This 75-nucleotide transfer RNA is filed under the name Alphaproteobacteria bacterium. RNAcentral describes it as "tRNA-Met". It matches the Rfam family "tRNA". From Rfam's summary of the family: Transfer RNA (tRNA) molecules are approximately 80 nucleotides in length. The record is from RNAcentral. Lineage: Bacteria; Pseudomonadati; Pseudomonadota; Alphaproteobacteria. RNAcentral also lists the same sequence under 2 other names.
GGCACCGUAGCUCAGUGGUAGAGCAGGGGAAUCAUAAUCCCUUGGUCGCUGGUUCAAAUCCGGCCGGUGCUACCA